ACGCUCGACACCUACGGGAGCAGCAGUGGGGAAUAUUGCACAAUGGGGGAAACCCUGAUGCAGCGACGCCGCGUGAAGGAAGAAGUGUCUCGGUAUGUAAACUUCUAUCAGCAGGGAAGAAAAUGACGGUACCUGACUAAGAAGCCCCGGCUAACUACGCGCCAGCAGCCGCGGUAAUCUGAGCGGGCUGGCAAGGC
RNAcentral lists this ribosomal RNA (197 nucleotides) under uncultured bacterium. RNAcentral describes it as "partial 16S ribosomal RNA". It matches the Rfam family "Bacterial small subunit ribosomal RNA", at positions 328 to 539 of the family's 1533-position model. The record is from RNAcentral.